UACGAGGGGGGCUAGCGUUGCUCGGAAUCACUGGGCGUAAAGCGCACGUAGGCGGACUCUUAAGUCGGUGGUGAAAUCCUGGAGCUCAACUCCAGAACUGCCUUCGAUACUGAGAGUCUCGAGUCCGGGAGAGGUGAGUGGAACUGCGAGUGUAGAGGUGAAAUUCGUAGAUAUUCGCAAGAACACCAGUGGCGAAGGCGGCUCACUGGCCCGGUACUGACGCUGAGGUGCGAAAGCGUGGGGAGCAAACAGG
Molecule: ribosomal RNA, 253 nt
Filed under: uncultured bacterium
Lineage: Bacteria
Description: partial 16S ribosomal RNA
Rfam family: Bacterial small subunit ribosomal RNA
Source: RNAcentral